GACGUGGUGGCGGAGUGGCUUACGCGCCGGAUUGCAACCCCGGUCACGCCGGUUCAAUUCCGGCUCACGUCUCCA
RNAcentral lists this transfer RNA (75 nucleotides) under Pseudaminobacter soli (ex Zhang et al. 2022). RNAcentral's name for it is "tRNA-Cys". It matches the Rfam family "tRNA". From Rfam's summary of the family: Transfer RNA (tRNA) molecules are approximately 80 nucleotides in length. Their secondary structure includes four short double-helical elements and three loops (D, anti-codon, and T loops). The record is from RNAcentral. Lineage: Bacteria; Pseudomonadati; Pseudomonadota; Alphaproteobacteria; Hyphomicrobiales; Phyllobacteriaceae.